Molecule: long non-coding RNA, 847 nt
Filed under: Populus trichocarpa (black cottonwood)
Lineage: Eukaryota; Viridiplantae; Streptophyta; Magnoliopsida; Malpighiales; Salicaceae
Description: long non-coding RNA (PTRI_LNC003097)
Source: RNAcentral
GGGAAAAGAAAUCUAGAUAUUCCAAAGAAUUUGUGUUGCUGUGGGGGUGGAAUUGGCUUAACUCACACCAUGCUAGAAAUUCUUGUCAAGAUUUUCAAAGUCAAUGCUUGUCCGUAUUUACCUUUUUCGGAAAUAUGCAAGUUUCUGUCUGGCCCUCCAGAGCAUAUUUGUUAAAUAACCCUUGACAGUUGUUUUACUUGUUGCAGGAGAGGUUACAACCAAAGAUGCCAAAAGAACACCUACUAGAUUUCACAUGAACAAAGGCAAGAAGCUUAAGCGAUUGAAGCGCUAAGGCAAGUUUAUGUUUGAGUAAAAGUUGCAUACUGCCGAUGCCAAGUUCUGUACCUUUAUGAUUUAUCUAUUUCUUUACCCUCUUUCACUUUGAUUCUGUGCAAUUGUGUACAUUUGCUUCUCAAUACAUAGGUAAGAACAAGACAAAGCCUGAAGUUUUGGUGGAUGUCAUGGUAGAUGACACAUAUGAGACAGGGCGUGGUAUGGCAAUAACUGAUCUGUUUCCUGGAGGACACAACUGUACAGACUAAUUUGCCUGAUAAUGUAGGAGGCAAGGUUUGCACUUUCACUUUACGAGAGAAAAAUCAUGGAUUCCAACGAGUUAGCUAGAAGUAAUGAAGAGGACUAAUGGAAUUUGUGCCUCUGGAAUGAAAGAAUGUGAUAUGAUGUUACAGAUUCCUUAUUAGGGCACUUCCAUGCACUAAGGAUAUUUACGUAGCUAUAAUCUUUUUCAACAAGCAUUGAAAUGAAUUUUGUUGCUAUAUGAAACUCUGCUGCCAUUGCUCCUUCUAUUUUUUUUUUCAAGGAAAAACGAGUUGAUACAUAAUUUGUAUUA